This 645-nucleotide long non-coding RNA is filed under the name Homo sapiens (human). Its description in RNAcentral is "HSALNT0041829". Lineage: Eukaryota; Metazoa; Chordata; Mammalia; Primates; Hominidae. The record is from RNAcentral.
ACUUCUAUUUUGUUCUUGUUCAUUUCUAUUUUUAUUUUUAAAACUUUUGCUUCAUAUAUUUUGAUAACAUGACCAUAUAAUUUGACAUUCAAACUAAGAAACUCAUGAGAGUGAAAGGGGGUGCUAUUAAUUAAGACAGGACAACAGGCUUACUUUUAAGACUACCCUAUGAAAACAUAUUCUUAUUGUUAACCUAUAUGCCUGUUUCCAUUUUUCUGUUUGCCUAAUGAAGGGAAAAAUUGCUAUCCUUGCUAGUUGCUUUAGCCUGUACAUUUUUUUUUUUUGUUUGCUAUUGCCUUAUCUGAAAAGAAAAAAUAUUAUUGAUCUCUGUUUACCAAAGUGUUCUGAUUCUUGUUAAUAGUCCUGCUUAAGGGCGAGGGUGGAUAAAGGAGCCUGGAUUAUGCAGAUAGCUAUGCCCUGUCUUCCCUCAGCUGCAUGUUCUCCGUUUGCCCCUGGAGACACACUCUCCUCUAUUCUCCUCUCCACUCUCUUCUCAGUCCCGAGACAUUGACCUGGGAUACAUCAAAACUCCUUCCCUUUUGGCUUCCAGUGGGAUUUUACCAAUGGAAACCCAGCAGGAGACUGAAGAAAGAAAGGAGUGAGGGCUGGCUUGCUAUUAACUAGUGCCGCAGGACUGCAUGGAGG